Molecule: ribosomal RNA, 492 nt
Filed under: Treponema sp. 3:13:3138
Lineage: Bacteria; Pseudomonadati; Spirochaetota; Spirochaetia; Treponematales; Treponemataceae
Description: bacterial SSU rRNA
Rfam family: Bacterial small subunit ribosomal RNA
Source: RNAcentral
AACGAACGCUGGCGGUGCGUCUUAAGCAUGCAAGUCGAACGGCAAGAAAGUGCUUGCACUUUCCUAGAGUGGCGGACUGGUGAGUAACGCGUGGGUGAUCUACCUUUAAGAUGGGGAUAGCUUUUAGAAAUAAGAGAUAAUACCGAAUGUGCUUGCGAUGCUUUGGCGUUGCAAGGAAAGGAGCGUUUGCUCGCUUAAAGAUGAGCCUGCGUCCCAUUAGCUAGUUGGUGAGGUAAUGGCCCACCAAGGCGAUGAUGGGUAUCCGACCUGAGAGGGUGAUCGGACACAUUGGGACUGAGAUACGGCCCAAACUCCUACGGGAUGCAGCAGCUGAGAAUCUUCCGCAAUGGACGAAAGUCUGACGGAGCGACACCGCGUGAAUGAUGAAGGCCGAAAGGUUGUAAAAUUCUUUUGCAGACAAAGAAUAAGUGUAGGAGGAAAUGCCUACAUGAUGACGGUAGUUAUGCGAAUAAGCCCCGGCUAAUUACGUGC